Molecule: transfer RNA, 83 nt
Filed under: Lentimicrobiaceae bacterium
Lineage: Bacteria; Pseudomonadati; Bacteroidota; Bacteroidia; Bacteroidales; Lentimicrobiaceae
Also listed under: 1 other name
Description: tRNA-Leu
Rfam family: tRNA
About the family: Transfer RNA (tRNA) molecules are approximately 80 nucleotides in length. Their secondary structure includes four short double-helical elements and three loops (D, anti-codon, and T loops). Further hydrogen bonds mediate the characteristic L-shaped molecular structure. tRNAs have two regions of fundamental functional importance: the anti-codon, which is responsible for specific mRNA codon recognition, and the 3' end, to which the tRNAs corresponding amino acid is attached (by aminoacyl-tRNA synthetases). tRNAs cope with the degeneracy of the genetic code in two manners: having more than one tRNA (with a specific anti-codon) for a particular amino acid; and 'wobble' base-pairing, i.e. permitting non-standard base-pairing at the 3rd anti-codon position.
Source: RNAcentral
GCCCAGGUGGCGGAAUUGGUAGACGCGCAUGGUUGAGGGCCAUGUUCCCCAAGGGAGUGCAAGUUCGAUUCUUGUCCUGGGCA